This 76-nucleotide transfer RNA is filed under the name Gallibacterium anatis. RNAcentral's name for it is "tRNA-Met". It matches the Rfam family "tRNA". From Rfam's summary of the family: Transfer RNA (tRNA) molecules are approximately 80 nucleotides in length. Their secondary structure includes four short double-helical elements and three loops (D, anti-codon, and T loops). The record is from RNAcentral. Lineage: Bacteria; Pseudomonadati; Pseudomonadota; Gammaproteobacteria; Pasteurellales; Pasteurellaceae.
GGCUAUGUAGCUCAGCGGUUAGAGCACAACACUCAUAAUGUUGGGGUCACAGGUUCGAAUCCCGUCAUAGCCACCA